Molecule: long non-coding RNA, 1172 nt
Filed under: Chloebia gouldiae (Gouldian finch)
Lineage: Eukaryota; Metazoa; Chordata; Aves; Passeriformes; Passeridae
Description: Erythrura gouldiae (Gouldian finch) lncRNA (ENSEGOG00005018608.1)
Source: RNAcentral
AUCCGGCUGGAAUUCUGGCUGGAAUUCCGGCUAAAAUUCGGGCUGAAAAUCCGGCUGGAAUUCCGGCUGGGAUUCCGGCUAAAAUUGCUACUGAAACUCUGGCUAAAAUUGCUACUGAAACUCCAGCUAAAAUUCCAGCUAAAAUUGCUACUGAAACUCCAGCUAAAAUUGCUACUGAAACUCCAGCUAAAACUCCGGCUAAAAUUGCUACUGAAACUCUGGCUGGAAUUCCGGCUGAAUUCUGGCUGGAAUUCUGGCUAAAAUUCCGGCUGAAAAUCCGGCUGGAAUUCCGGCUGGAAUUCGGGCUAAAAUUGCUACUGAAACUCCAGCUAAAAUUGCUACUGAAACUCCAGCUAAAAUUGCUACUGAAACUCCAGCUAAAAUUGCUACUGAAACUCCAGCUAAAAUUCUGGCUAAAAUUGCUACCGAAACUCCAGCUAAAAUUCCGGCUAAAAUUGCUACUGAAACUCCAGCUAAAAUUCCGGCUAAAAUUGCUACUGAAACUCUGGCUGGAAUUCCGGCUGAAUUCUGGCUAAAAUUGCUACUAAAAUUCCAACUGAAAUUCCGGCUGGAACUCCGGCUGAAAUUCCGGCUAAAAUUCCAGCUGAAAUUUUGGCUGAAAUUCCAGCUAAAAUUGCUACUGAAACUCUGGCUGGAAUUCUGGCUAGAAUUCCAGCUAAAAUUCCAACUGAAAUUCCGGCUGGAAUUCCAGCUAAAAUUCCAGGUAAAAUUGGCACUAAAAUUUCAGCUAAAAUUCUGGCUGGAAUUCUGGCUAAAAUUCCGGCUGAAAAUCCGGCUGGAAUUCCGGCUAAAAUUGCUACUGAAACUCUGGCUGGAAUUCCGGCUGGAAUUCUGGCUGAAUUCUGGCUGGAAUUCUGGCUAAAAUUCCAGCUGAAAAUCCGGUUGAAAAUCCGGCUGAAAUUCCGGCUAAAAUUGCUACUGAAACUCCAGCUAAAAUUCCGGCUAAAAUUGCUACUGAAACUCUGACUGGAAUUCCGGCUGAAUUCUGGCUGGAAUUCUGGCUAAAAUUCCGGCUGAAAAUCCGGCUGGAAUUCCGGCUAAAAUUGCUACUGAAACUCCAGCUAAAAUUGCUACUGAAACUCUGGCUGGAAUUCCAGCUGGAAUUCCGGCUGAAUUCUGGCUGGAAUUCUGGCUAAAAUUCCGGCUGAAAA